This is a non-coding RNA of Cajanus cajan (pigeon pea), 3726 nucleotides long. NCBI's taxonomy places the organism in Eukaryota, Viridiplantae, Streptophyta, Magnoliopsida, Fabales, Fabaceae. The record is from RefSeq and is a predicted model, not a curated record.
CUUCAUUUAUUUUUUCUUGUUCAAUCAAAAUAGAAAUGUGAGGAAGGUGAAAGCUAUUGGUGGUGUUAAUCGUUAACACUUUUAUAUUUUAUUUGUCUCUCAAAAACGUUAUUGGUUGGUGGACAAAAAAAGAAAUUAGUAAGAUGAAGAGAGUAAAUUUACAUUGAAAUCGAGGGAUAAUGGAUCCUCCAUAAUGGAAAAGGAAAAUCAAAACAACAAAUAAAAAGAGAAAGCAUUGAUGGAGCAAAUAUUCCAAUCCCUUUGCAUAUUUAUUUGGGAAACUCCUUAUAGAGGCCAUGUUCUUUACGUUAAAUGGAAGUUAUGAUAUUUCUCGAGAGAACCACAUCACAAAAGUUAGUUGUUGUACUUGAAGAGCCCAAGGCCUAAUGAAACCCAUAUUAUAAUUGCAAUUGGAUCCUAAUUUGCCAACAUGCUCUACACCUCAAUCGCCCAUACGGGCUAGUUGUACGCAUACCCAUUUGACUAGUUUUGGAUGAAAAUGGCACCAACAUUACUCAUUGUAGUUGAGAGGUCAUGUGCUUUAUGCUAAAUAGAAAUUAUGAUAACCUUGAGAGAACCACACCACAAAAGCUAGCUACUGUGGUUGAGGAGCCCAAGGCCUUAUAAACCCAACACUAGAAUUGCAAUUGGAUCCUAACAUUCCACUACGCUUUGAGUCCUAGUGCCCACACAGGCUAGCUGUGUACUAACCGUUUUACUAGUCUUCUUGGACGAACUUUGCAAUGCCAACACCAUUACCGAUGUUGCUCAUUUGCAGUUGAGGGACAUGGUGGAAUGCUCUAAUACUAAUUGGUAGAACUAGAACUGGUAUCAUAACAGUGAGAAAGUCUUUUAUUUAUUUAUUUAUUUAUUUUAAUGAAACUAGGGAUAAUCCCCAAGGAAGCUAUGCGCUAUACACAAUUCCAGAUAUUUUAAGAGGUGUGGAUCCACUCCUCAUGCAGCUUUCAUAAUCACCAAAAUUCCCUUAAACUGUUUAGAGUUAUUCCUAUGUUAUAUAGAAAACUACUAGUGUAUAGUUUGUAACCGAAACCCACCCUUAAUGGGCCUAGUUAGCCACAGGUUCGUUUCCCCUUCUUUCUAAAAUAGCAUUAAUUUAGGACAUGACAUUUCCUAUGUAAUUAGUGUUGAUUUUGGACAGAUUGUUUCUUGUGCGUAUAUCUGAAAUUGAGUCUAUAAUUACUAGGAGAUUCUAUUUCUUUUGUCAUUAGCCUAUAUAAGUGGUUAGUGCUUGUAUUCCAGGUUGUCAAUAGUGGCUGGAGCAGUUGCCAUUGCGGUGUGGAGCCGCUACAGUGACACCGUUGCAUACAGUUUCAACAUUGCAAGCUGUGACAAACGCUAAUUGGCGGUGUGGAGUGACUGUGAUCACGGGUUUAGGGGUGGUUUUGCGUCUACUAUUUUAUUGGACAUUAAAAUUUUGAAAAUAACCUCACUUAAUCAGGGUGCUUUUGUUCUUUCCACUUUCAUAUCUGAGGUGCGAUUUAUUACCUGGCAGGUAACCCUCAUUUCUGAGGUGUGAUUUAUAUACCUGUCAGGUAACUUCACUUAAAGUCAAUUGAUUUUAAGAAGAAAUCUUGCACUAUCAAAUUAAGUGCCUCAUGAUCCCAAAUCAGAUGCUUACCCAAGGAAACCUAGAAAAUUAGUGUUACAGUCCCAUCAAAGGCUUCUUUGCAAAUUGCAUAUAGAAUUAGCUUCUUUGCUUUCAUUCAAACAACUAAAGGCAAUAACAAAAAAUUGCCAUGAAUACUUAGAUUCUUUAUUUCUAGCUAAUAAAGAACAGAAGCUAAUUUUUCAUAUCAUUCAUUUAAAGUUAUAUUUCAUUUCUUUUAAUUUUCUUCUAUUGAAAUGGGAAAUUUUCUUAUUAUAGAUUAAACUACAAGGUGUGGUUAUUAUUAUAUUGUGAUUGCUUAUCAUUCCCAUAAUAUACUAGUUAUUGGGUGUGAUUUCACAAUAUGGCCUGCAUUUAGCAUAACAAAUAAUCCAUAAAAAACAGAAGCUAAAUUUUUGACACAUUUAUUUAAAGUUAUUUUUCAUGUUUAUCUCUAAUGUUGGUUAUCAGAUUCAUCCUUGAUUAAGUGCCUGUCUCUAUAAGAUUUUACACACUCCAAUUUGGCUUCCUGAGGCAAUUUUUAUGAAUGGAAGUACUUUCUUCCUUUCAGAAAAUGCACAGUGGUGGUAAAAUGAAUCUAAACAAAGCGGAAAGUGUUUGCUUGAGGCCUGACCUGGAAACCUUUAAUGUUUUGUUUUUGUUACUAAAUGAAACAAUAUGUGCAAGGCUAUUAUUUUGCCUUUGUUACGAAUUCUAUUUAGAUAUAUAAAAUGAUGGAUAAAAUGCAAAUAGAACUGUUUAUUUUGAACUUAAAUAAAAACGAGGCUUUCAAUAAUAAAACUGCUGUAUGCUUUAUUAAAGUAGUGACUUCAUUUGUAGUACUGACACUGUCUUUAUCAACCAUUCACCAUACUCUAUAUUGCUUAUGCUGAAAUUGUCUUCAAGAUGUUGAAUUUGAAAUAGAUGACUUGUAAAUAUGGGUUUCAUGUUUGCUGGUUGUGAUGUGUCUGAUGGAUACCAAGCCCCAGACAUGGUUGAAAAUGAAAGACAAGUGGAGAACGCAAGCUCAAACAAACUACCCAUUCCGAUAGUUUACUCCAGCCAUGGGCAUCGGGGCUAUAACUGCCAUGAGGUUGUUAUUGUCAGGAGUAUGGCAAUUAGCAUGAUAGUAAUUUUCAGAAUGUAGAGUGCAAUAGCUGCUAUGAGGUAGUUAUUGUUAGCAGUAUGGAAGUUUUUAUGCUGUAUUAUACAAUAUAGAAAUCAAAAAGUGGGGAAUCAGAUUUGCUAUGUGACUAAGUUUAGGGCAGAAAAUCUCUUGUAAGACGUUUCUGUGGGAGAUUGAUGCUCUGGAUGAGCCUUGGCUCACUAUUUACUGAAUAAACCAUUAUUUGGGUGACAAAGAGGAUGAUCUGUUGUAGAAAAAACUUGAAUUUUGUCUGAAUUGAAAGCAGAAUUUUGUCUAGCAUGGAUGACAAAUUGGGACUCAUGGAGGACUAAAUAGAAAGGUUGGAGGUCAACAUGACAGAGAGGCUUCUAUAUAAAAUGAAAAAGGUAUUGGGCAAACGGACAAAGGAAGAAUACUAGAGUUUCAACCCUGAGAGGGCAGCUCUGCAGGAAUAGUGUCAGAUAAUAAUCGACAUGACUUGGACGAGUAUUGAAUGGUAGUCUAGAAUUGGAGUCUUCAAUGGGGAAGACCUGUGGGAUGGAAUACGAGCUUAAACUUACUUCAAAGUGUAGAAUACAAGUGAAGAUGAGAUGUUAAGUUGGCCAAGUUGAGUAUGGAGUGUUAAUAAGAAUCAUUUUAAGCAGGUCUAGAGUACCUAAGGAGUUAUCUUUAUGCGUGAGGGGAAGAUUGCUAUCAGGUCAUCUCUAAAUAGCCUCAAAGUCGUGUUUGACACUGGAAGCUCGAAUCUUUGGAUCCAUUUUUCCAAACUCCUUAUAUCCUAAGAAUUGAAGAAGGCUGCUCUACUGUCUGCUAAGGCGGUUUUGUAGCUCUGGAAGGGCCUCCGCUACAAGGUCCCCCUCUCGGGUUCUUGGGAGAUUUUUUUCUUGGGAGUUCGUGACUAGGAGUUUUGACUAUGGUAAUCUGCCUAGAGGAUUUGCUGAAGAUUCGUAAUCAUAUUUUGGCGUAAUUACUAUGCUAAAUUUUGUGUAGAAAA